ACAACGAGUCGCAAACUCGCGAGAGUAAGCUAAUCUCUUAAAGCCGUUCUCAGUUCGGACUGUAGGCUGCAACUCGCCUACACGAAGUCGGAAUCGCUAGUAAUCGCGGAUCAGCAUGCCGCGGUGAAUACGUUCCCGGGCCUUGUACACACCGCCCGUCACACCAUGAGAGUUGGCAAUACCCAACGUACGUGAUCUAACCCGCAAGGGAGGAAGCGUCCUAAGGUAGGGUCAGCGAUUGGGGUGAAGUCGUAACAAGGUAGC
RNAcentral lists this ribosomal RNA (264 nucleotides) under uncultured bacterium. RNAcentral describes it as "partial 16S ribosomal RNA". It matches the Rfam family "Bacterial small subunit ribosomal RNA", at positions 1239 to 1500 of the family's 1533-position model. The record is from RNAcentral.